AGCAAGGUAUAAAUAUAGCAAAUAAAUAAAUAAAUACUUAUUUUUGCACAGAAAUAGCCCCUUUUACACACAAAAUUGUUUUCUGUGCAGAAAGUGCUAUACUUGGUAACAUCCAGUGCAUAAAUUGUACUUGCCUGACCUACUUAUGCAAAGUUUGGACAAUAUAAGUCCCAAAUUGAAAAGAUUCCAGCAACGAUUCUUCUUUUCAGGGUCUCCAAAACACAACAUAUAUGUUUUUACUGUUUCCCAGUAAUUUCUGAAAAAUCUUUCCAUUUCUAUUAGGACUGAAGACUGACCCAAGAUGCUUUGCUGCCUGAGACAAAGGACAAGAUGGUGCCCCUGCUCCUGGAAGGAAAUGAACCAGCAGGUGAAUUUUACCACAAGUUUGGAAAAGGGGGAUAUUUUUAUACCACAGAUGGAUGAAUCUGUGGAUAUGUAAAACUGACUGUAUCUUGUCUUUGGAAACUAUCCAGGUUAACUUUGUACAAAGAAUUAUAAUAAAGGUAGCCAGGGACCAUGGAGGUUGAUUAUCUACACUUAUAUUUGAUCAUCCACAGCUAGGAUUGGAUACCAGAUAGAAUAGAGUCAUAUACUGCCAUUCCAUCACUAGCAACACCAGUUUGUAUAUAUUGGUGUAAUGACCACAUACAGAUUUUAUGGAAUACUGUUACUUCAUUUUAGUGUUUCAUUUCUGCUCUUUGCAAGUGGUUAUAUAUCCCUCUGAAUUGCCCUAAGAUUAUUUUUCUAAUAAUGUUUUCUUCAUAUUGCUUGAAAUUGUUGACUGGAAAGAAGGAAAGAGAAUGAGAACUCCCAUAGGGGAUGUGAACGAGACUCAGUUGCACAUUUCAAGUGGUAACUUAGACAAUAGCCAAGCUUCAAAUAGCCUCUACUGCUG
RNAcentral lists this long non-coding RNA (895 nucleotides) under Anolis carolinensis (green anole). Its description in RNAcentral is "lncRNA (ENSACAG00000042254.1)". The record is from RNAcentral. Lineage: Eukaryota; Metazoa; Chordata; Lepidosauria; Squamata; Anolidae.